CUAGCCCUUGGUCUAGUUUCAUAUCAGACACAAGUGAGGUCAUCAGCCCUCAGCCUGACGAGGUGCAGAGGGAAGGCCCCUCUUGUCCUUCUCCAGGGCCUUUCUGCAGAGAGGAGCUUAUGGUCAAAAGUAGCUUUCUCUCCAGCCCAGAAAGGGCUGUCAACCCCCACCUGCCUAGGCAGGGUUCUCCUAGCCAAAGUCUUGUUGCUUGUGAGUGUGAGGCCUCUAAGGCCACGGUUGCUGGCGAGUCUGCCUCAGCCAACCCUCAGCCGAUCCCAUGCCCGACACUCUCAGGAGCUCAACAGAGCAGCACGUUUGUUGGAUGGAGCUCACCACAGGCAGAUCAGAACAAGGAGCCUGAGUCAGAGGCCCCAGCUGAGAAUGAAGCUGCCACCAGUGAGCUCAGUGACUCUGCUGAUAGCUUCAAGAAGUUGCCGCUAAAUCUAGCCUCCCAGAGCAGAAGGGAAAACCAUAAGGGACCACCCAUCGACUCCUCUGACAUCAGGCAGAGGCAGGUGACAACUGGAUCAGAGACGUCCACAAAGCAGAGCCUCCUGCUCCCAGGGCCCAUUGUGGUGCCCAACUUCUUUUUGCCUCCCCAGCAGUUGGAGGCUUCCCUGCGGAUGCUCUCACUCUCAGCAACGUUGCCACCAGCAGCCACAACAGAUCAGGUCUGCAGCCAGAAGUGUGGGAGUAUUUCAGAGGAAUGGAUGAUACAUUUGAGGGUAUCCCUGCUCUGGCCAAUUUCGCCUCUGGCCAACCCCACCAGGGUUGUGUGUUAGGGUAGCAGUCCUGAUGAAGGAAGAAUCUUCACUACUAGUCAAGAUGGUUUCUAAACCCUAUUGAAGUCAACAAAAGCAAAAUGCUGCUGAGUGACAAGAGCGAAGCCACCAGGGGAGCCCUCUCCCAAAGGCCUUGUCGCCCCAGACCUAACUCGCUCCCCCCCAACCUGCCUG
This 956-nucleotide small RNA is filed under the name Pongo abelii (Sumatran orangutan). RNAcentral's name for it is "processed transcript". The record is from RNAcentral. Lineage: Eukaryota; Metazoa; Chordata; Mammalia; Primates; Hominidae.